ACAGCACCCUGAGCCCCAAAGAUCAUCAUUUUCCUUUAAUAAUGAUCUUAUCUUGGGUGCUAACAUCAUAUGUACCAUGUCGCCUUUCAAGAGCUGAAGUGCUCAUGAAAGUGAAAUGGAAGGUUCUACACAC
Small nucleolar RNA from Ornithorhynchus anatinus (platypus), 133 nucleotides. RefSeq annotates it as small nucleolar RNA SNORA68. The record is from RefSeq and is a predicted model, not a curated record. NCBI's taxonomy places the organism in Eukaryota, Metazoa, Chordata, Mammalia, Monotremata, Ornithorhynchidae. The transcript has a single exon.